Non-coding RNA from Xylaria arbuscula, 96 nucleotides. The record is from the annotation of a GenBank genome assembly. Lineage: Eukaryota; Fungi; Ascomycota; Sordariomycetes; Xylariales; Xylariaceae.
GUUUCUGUGGCCUAGUGGUUAUGGCGCAUGUCUUACAUAUUAUUUCUAGAAAUUUAAGAUCACAUGAGAUCCCCGGUUCGAUCCCGGGCAGAAACA